GCAGCCACUCAUUCAAAGAGUGCGUAAUAGCUCACUGGUCGAGUGAUCCUGCGCCGAAGAUUUCCGGGGCUAAAACUUACUACCGAAGCUACGGCAUCAGUAAUGAUGGGUAGGGGAGCUUCCCAUACGGGUUGAAGCAUGACCGUAAGGACAUGUGGACAGGAUGGGAGUGAGAAUGUUGGCAUGAGUAGCGAGAUGUGGGUGAGAAUCCCACAGGCCGUAAACCCAAGGUU
This 233-nucleotide ribosomal RNA is filed under the name Clostridioides difficile. RNAcentral's name for it is "partial 23S ribosomal RNA". It matches the Rfam family "Bacterial large subunit ribosomal RNA", at positions 1112 to 1352 of the family's 2925-position model. The record is from RNAcentral. Lineage: Bacteria; Bacillati; Bacillota; Clostridia; Peptostreptococcales; Peptostreptococcaceae.